GUUCAGUCCGUUCGACCAUGCGAUAAAAUUAAAACGAUAAAUAGAAAAUUAGCAUGACUCAUGCGUAAAAAUGACAGGUAUAAAUUCAGAAAUGGUCCAAUUUUUU
Molecule: small nuclear RNA, 106 nt
Organism: Rosa rugosa (rugosa rose)
Lineage: Eukaryota; Viridiplantae; Streptophyta; Magnoliopsida; Rosales; Rosaceae
Source: RefSeq, a predicted model, not a curated record